UUUUUUUAUACUGAGCGUAUUGGAACGUUAUCGAUAAGAAGAGAGCGUCUAGGCGAACAAUGUUCUUAAAGUUUGACCUCAAAUCAGGUAGGAGUACCCGCUGAACUUAAGCAUAUCAAUAAGCGGAGGAAAAGAAACCAACCGGGAUUGCCUUAGUAACGGCGAGUGAAGCGGCAAAAGCUCAAAUUUGAAAUCUGGUACCUUCGGUGCCCGAGUUGUAAUUUGGAGAGGGCAACUUUGGGGCCGUUCCUUGUCUAUGUUCCUUGGAACAGGACGUCAUAGAGGGUGAGAAUCCCGUGUGGCGAGGAGUGCGGUUCUUUGUAAAGUGCCUUCGAAGAGUCGAGUUGUUUGGGAAUGCAGCUCUAAGUGGGUGGUAAAUUCCAUCUAAAGCUAAAUAUUGGCGAGAGACCGAUAGCGAACAAGUACAGUGAUGGAAAGAUGAAAAGAACUUUGAAAAGAGAGUGAAAAAGUACGUGAAAUUGUUGAAAGGGAAGGGCAUUUGAUCAGACAUGGUGUUUUGUGCCCUCUGCUCCUUGUGGGUAGGGGAAUCUCGCAUUUCACUGGGCCAGCAUCAGUUUUGGUGGCAGGAUAAAUCCAUAGGAAUGUAGCUUGCCUCGGUAAGUAUUAUAGCCUGUGGGAAUACUGCCAGCUGGGACUGAGGACUGCGACGUAA
RNAcentral lists this ribosomal RNA (673 nucleotides) under Saccharomyces cerevisiae (brewer's yeast). Its description in RNAcentral is "eukaryotic LSU rRNA". The stretch from base 74 to 673 matches the Rfam family "Eukaryotic large subunit ribosomal RNA", at positions 1 to 604 of the family's 3401-position model. The record is from RNAcentral. Lineage: Eukaryota; Fungi; Ascomycota; Saccharomycetes; Saccharomycetales; Saccharomycetaceae.